Molecule: long non-coding RNA, 633 nt
Organism: Trichoplusia ni (cabbage looper)
Lineage: Eukaryota; Metazoa; Arthropoda; Insecta; Lepidoptera; Noctuidae
Exons: 3
Source: RefSeq, a predicted model, not a curated record
UAUAUUAUAUUACUGAACUUUAAAUCCAGUUGGCAUUGUCUUAAGCUACGACAUUCUAGAUACAGAAAGUAAUUAAAUUAUAUAACAUAUAUGAGGUAAUAAUUCAGUCACGAAUAUAGAAACUAGAAUGGAGCUCUAUAAUAAUUGAUGUGCUCAUCAAAUCCAAACAUACGGUGCGGGUCUUGCAGUUUCAUGUCAAAGCCCGAAAUCGAGCUAAAAUCCAAAAAUGAAAAGACAAAAUCCACACCGCUUUUCGGCAACAUUCAGAACAAAGCUUACCAUGGCUCGGUCCGCAGGAGUGCCCGGAGCGCUUUGUGGAAUGAAAGGCAAGAUAAGAGGUACUGGGAGGCAGAUCGCAGCCCGCACACAGUCCACCGACGUUCAUUUUCCACAGUUUUCGCGGAACUAUCAACUUAUUUCAUAAAUAAGCAAUAACGGAGAAAAUUGGCGAUUUUUCGACCGUGCAAUUGACAAUUACAGAUUUAAUGAUGUACCUAUAGAUAGGAAUUGAUAUACAAUAUGUAUAGAAAACAGCAAUUAACUGAUAAGUCCUGAUGAAUUUCUUAAAUAAUUUUAAGAAUAUACUGGAUUUUUAUGAAUAAAGAAUAUUUUCAGAGACGGAAUCAGUAUUAU